ACACAUGCAAGUCGAACGGUAACAGGAAGCCUUUUGCUGCUUUGCUGACGAGUGGCGGACGGGUGAGUAAUGUCUGGGAAACUGCCUGAUGGAGGGGGAUAACUACUGGAAACGGUAGCUAAUACCGCAUAACGUCGCAAGACCAAAGAGGGGGACCUUAGGGCCUCUUGCCAUCGGAUGUGCCCAGAUGGGAUUAGCUAGUAGGUGGGGUAACGGCUCACCUAGGCGACGAUCCCUAGCUGGUCUGAGAGGAUGACCAGCCACACUGGAACUGAGACACGGUCCAGACUCCUACGGGAGGCAGCAGUGGGGAAUAUUGCACAAUGGGCGCAAGCCUGAUGCAGCCAUGCCGCGUGUAUGAAGAAGGCCUUCGGGUUGUAAAGUACUUUCAGCGGGGAGGAAGGGAGUAAAGUUAAUACCUUUGCUCAUUGACGUUACCCGCAGAAGAAGCACCGGCUAACUCCGUGCCAGCAGCCGCGGUAAUACGGAGGGUGCAAGCGUUAAUCGGAAUUACUGGACGUAAAGCGCACGCAGGCGGUUUGUUAAGUCAGAUGUGAAAUCCCCGGGCUCAACCUGGGAACUGCAUCUGAUACUGGCAAGCUUGAGUCUCGUAGAGGGGGGUAGAAUUCCAGGUGUAGCGGUGAAAUGCGUAGAGAUCUGGAGGAAUACCGGUGGCGAAGGCGGCCCCCUGGACGAAGACUGACGCUCAGGUGCGAAAGCGUGGGGAGCAAACAGGAUUAGAUACCCUGGUAGUCCACGCCGUAAACGAUGUCGACUUGGAGGUUGUGCCCUUGAGGCGUGGCUUCCGGAGCUAACGCGUUAAGUCGACCGCCUGGGGAGUACGGCCGCAAGGUUAAAACUCAAAUGAAUUGACGGGGGCCCGCACAAGCGGUGGAGCAUGUGGUUUAAUUCGAUGCAACGCGAAGAACCUUACCUGGUCUUGACAUCCACGGAAGUUUUCAGAGAUGAGAAUGUGCCUUCGGGAACCGUGAGACAGGUGCUGCAUGGCUGUCGUCAGCUCGUGUUGUGAAAUGUUGGGUUAAGUCCCGCAACGAGCGCAACCCUUAUCCUUUGUUGCCAGCGGUCCGGCCGGGAACUCAAAGGAGACUGCCAGUGAUAAACUGGAGGAAGGUGGGGAUGACGUCAAGUCAUCAUGGCCCUUACGACCAGGGCUACACACGUGCUACAAUGGCGCAUACAAAGAGAAGCGACCUCGCGAGAGCAAGCGGACCUCAUAAAGUGCGUCGUAGUCCGGAUUGGAGUCUGCAACUCGACUCCAUGAAGUCGGAAUCGCUAGUAAUCGUGGAUCAGAAUGCCACGGUGAAUACGUUCCCGGGCCUUGUACACACCGCCCGUCACACCAUGGGAGUGGGUUGCAAAAGAAGUAGGUAGCUUAACCUUAGGGAGGGCGCUUACCACUUUGUGAUUCAUGACUGGGGUGAAG
This 1444-nucleotide ribosomal RNA is filed under the name uncultured organism. RNAcentral's name for it is "SSU rRNA". It matches the Rfam family "Bacterial small subunit ribosomal RNA". The record is from RNAcentral.